UAACUUCAGGUACUUUUUUUUUUUGGGAAGAUUCAAAUCUCCCCAGCCCCUAAAAGUUCUCUUUUUUGGUUUGGUAUAGACAAUGAUUGGAAUAUAACAGUCAUAAAGUUGUGUAAUUUUAGUUUCUCUUGCAUAGUUGUCCAAGAAAGUUGUUUUCAGCUGAAAUUUGAACUAUUAUCCGUAGAAUUGGGUGGUGUUUAAUUUUGAAUGGUUUAUAAAUUGUUACUACAGUCUAUUUAAUUAUUGAAGGCUUAUGGAUUAUUAACAGUUCUUAUUUCUUGAACUUGGUAUUUUUAUAAAUUGAUGUGGUUGCUCUAAAAGAUCUAGUAGCUGCUUGCUUGAGCACAAGCUUCACCUGGAAGCUGAUAAUAAAUGGGACAAAUAUCUCAUUACAUAUUGGUGCUUCAGGCCUCCCAUGAGCAGCAUUCACAUCUAGGAUUAUUAAAACCCUUUGCAAAUCAAUUUCUUUUGAUCAUUUAAUGGUGUUUAAUCAACAAAGUUUGUGGCCUUUCAGGCUCUAUCCAGUGGCAUUUUUAAGAGUUGCUUGCACAGAAUUAGUAAGGAAAUGCCUUGCUAUAUUUCUGUCCAAAGAAGCGAGGUAACUGAAUGCUUUGUUAAGAGUCUUAAAAUCACAGGAUGUAUCCUGACUUUUCAUAUUCAGCUUUGCUAGAAUUCAUUCAAUAGAAAAGGAACUGAGAAUAUACAAGUAGUAUUUGAAUUUUCAGAGCAAAAAGGGUAUGGUUUGUAUGAAAUGCCUGUUAAGUUCUGCGACAUCUAAUCCUUUUGGAAUUACUUGGUCAAUACAGCAUGCAUCAUCAUCUUUUUAUCAGUCAUCUUUCUAUUGUAAAGUUACCUUUAGCUAUAGACUAUGAAUUGGUUCUACAGCAUUUGUCUCUGUUUUUCUUAUUAUUUAUUUAUUUUAGAACUACGUCAACUAUAAGCAAGUUUUGGUGUAUAUGAGAUGAUUUGUUCAUACCUCGCUUAUUAUUAUUAUUUUUUUAACAACAAGUUGUUCGUUCAUUCCAAAGAGACAAGAGGGGGAAUUUUGGUACAAAGCCUGAAUUAGGAAUAUAAGCUGCUAAAACUACACUCACAAAGAAAGAGAAGAAGAAGAAAUAGAAGUUGAAGAACCUGCCAAGGAAUAAGACUCCCAAGGAAGAACAUUCAUGAAAAUGAAAAGAUAACUGAAGUCUAAAUGUGCAUCUAACUAGACGGUGCCGGAAGACAGCAGUAACCAAGGAACUAAUUAAGCUGCGGAAAAGAGUUCCAAAUGAGAAAAAUAGAAAGCUGCGGAUCAAUAUGAUACAAAAGCUCUCCAAUCUUUUCAUAGAAUGAGUCAUUUGUUCCCUCUCUAAUUCCUUGCAAGUCAUCCAUUUUUUUUUUUCAAUCCUGUCCGUGAUAUCAGAGGAAAUCAUUUGCACUGAGCUUUGAACUUUUUCCCUCUUAUUUCAUUGUCUGAUGAAUGAAUACCACGCAAGUGUUUUAUAUUUGGUAGUAAAUAACUGACAUAUAUCUAGAGUGUUUUAUGCUCAUCCACCCAUAUUUAAGACCCCACUAGCAAAAAGCAGUGCCACAUUGCGGGCUUACAAGCAAUAUAUAUAUAUAUAAUUUGGGUUAAUCAUUCUGGCGGAUGGUUUUGGACAUGAAAGUGAUUUAUGAAUUCUUAUCGGUUGAUGUGUUGUGAGGAAAGGACUACCCAUGGCUAGAUAAGAUUUGAAGGAGAUUGAAUUUUGAUAAAGAUUGAAUUCAAAGAAACUAAACUUUUAGAAUAUUGAAGUUAUCCUUUAAUUUUGUGAGAUAUGGAGUGGAAAGCUGGCAGUUCUAAUGAAUAUUCAGAAAUAAAGUUAGCCAAGACUUGUUGGUCUCCCAGCAGAUGUGGAGUCUUUCCUCCUUCUUGAGUAAGGUGUCUUGCUGGUGCUAUGGUUUACGCUGGUUUCUCUUGAAAAUCCGGCUGUUUUACUUGCUUCGAUCCCUCAUAUUGUUGGGUUGUUUUAGGUGAUCCUCAUCUGGUUGAUGGUUUUGUUGUGUCUUCGGGGAAGGAGUUAGAACAAUUGUGGGCAAAGUUUCAGCUCAGUGAAGAUUAAGCUGAGGUGAUCUCUCUUGAAGGAGGCACUGGGAAGCGGGGUGAUUUAGAGCGCUGUCUGGUGGGCUGUGCGUUGUCGCGUAAGCCAGUCAGUAUUGCUGGUUUGUCCCAGGCAACAUUUGGUUCAUGGAGGCUAGAUCGCAAGUUUAAUAUUCAUGCACUCUGAGGUUAGUUUUAUUUGUGAAUUUGAGCAUACUGUUGAUAGGAAUAAGGCUCUGAAGGAGGGUACGUGGCAUUUCAAGAAGCAGACUAUCUUGUUAAAACCUGUUAUCGGCAAUAAACAGCUGUUGGAUUUGAAGGAAGAAAAAAACUAAGAACAGUUUAUGCUAGAAUAAGUAGCAGAGAAAAAAACAUAAAUUCAUUAGUAAAACAGGGGAUUUACGCGUACAAAUUCAAAGAUUUUUUUCUUCCUUUUCGUCUUCAUUUUCUCAACUCUCUCAAACUCUCUUCAAGGUCUCUCAAAUUCUCUCUGCUCUCUUUUUCUUUCCAGCAGCAAUUCUAUCUAUAUCCAGCAGCAAUUCUUCCUUUUUAUAGAAAAAAAUUGCUUUCUUUUGUUAAGUAAUGCCAUACUUGCACCAUGCUUGGUAUGACUAUUUCCUUUACUUGUAGACAUAUAUAUUUGCCUAUUUAAUCUCAUCAACUCUAUCAACAGCCCUCAGAUAUCAGGUUGGAUGUUCGUUGUGUUUUUUGGUGCAUAUUUGUAACAUCCCCUUCAACUUUCGGGACAAUGCUUCAGUGCGGAAAAUCGCAAGUUCCGUAGGGACUGUGAAGGGUAUUAAUGAGGGUGAUCUUCACUCUUGGUGGAAUGUGGCAAGAGUAGGAGUAGAGGUGUUGUUAAUAAACCUGUUCGGCGAGGGAUAAUGAUAGCGCAGCAAUCUGGGUCCAAGGUUUGGGUGUAUUUCCGCUGUGAGAAAUCGCAGAAUUUCUGCUAUAGUUGUGGUAUGUUGGUCCAUGUCUUGCAUAAAUGUGCUUCAGAGUGUAAGUUUGCUGAUGAUGGAAGUUUUCCUUAUGGGCCGGGUCUGCGUGCUUCUCCUCUGCAGAAGCGCUAUGUUUCGGGGAGCUAUAGGAUGCGAACUGCCUCUGGUUAGAGCGAGUCACAACCUUCAAAGCAGUGUGAUUCGGUGCAUAGAAAGAUUUUGUUCCCAGGCGAGGAAGCAAAAACUAGUGCUUGCAAGACCUGUGGUUCUAAAGAUUUUCAUUUGGGGGAUCAAUGUUAUAAUAAUGGGCAACAUGAACCUGGACGGGUGCAGUUAUGGGACGGGAAUAGUGAACAGGUAGUGAACCUUAUUCCUGGAGAUCCUCAUGUUGAGACUCAGCAACCUAGCAAUGUGGACAGGGUGACUGGAACCUUGCAUGAAAUGCAAAAACUUGAACCUGGUGAAGAAAUAUAGCUACCCAAGUUCCCGUGCUGGUUUACCACAAAUUCUGUGCUAUCUUCUAGGGAAUGAAGGGGUUCUUAUAGUCUAGGGCUUUGGAAGCCCAUUCUUUAAUGUGAUUCGCUGCUAUGUUUUCUUGUUUGAUAUAAGCAUGGACAAAGUGUUGGACAGGCUACAAUUGGAUUAUUACUCAGUAGCCUGAUAGUCCAGCAACUCCAUUUAAUUCUUGUAACUUUUAGAUCUUAAAUCACUGGUACAAAAUUAUACCAAAAUUU
RNAcentral lists this unclassified non-coding RNA (3734 nucleotides) under Hevea brasiliensis (rubber tree). The record is from RNAcentral. Lineage: Eukaryota; Viridiplantae; Streptophyta; Magnoliopsida; Malpighiales; Euphorbiaceae.